UAUCUUUUCCUCCUCACCUCUACCAAAUCAGUACAGAGCCCACACUUUGGAUUCUCAUUUCGAGAAUACUAAGGGCUCCAAGUGGUGGUGUCGUCCCCAUUUCCUAUUGUUCGUUCAAAGCCGUUCGUGGUAGAUGACUAGGGUGUUAUUGGACGAUUGCCUGCUGUUCUAGCGAGAGCGCAAGAAGGCUGUUCAUAGAGAGAGCGAGAUUUCAACCGAAGAGAGUCUUCAACUGGUAUGUUUUCUCAGUCUCUUGUUUGUUUAUCUGUAAGCAUGCCGAUAAAUUAGUAGUGCUAAUGCAUAUCUGUAUAUGUGAAUGUAUAUGUGAAAAUUCUAUGAUAAUGAAUUGGAAAGAUCCGCUUCCGCACAUAGGGACGAACUUGUAUAAGAGUUCUUUCAAGUCCAGGGUCGAACGCGGGGAUUCUAAAGUACAUUAACUCAAGUUUUUGUCUUUAGAUCUAUUGUAGGGUUGAUAUGCGUUGGUUAUGUCCACUAAACUACUGGCAUGCAUACAAGAAGGAAAUAGGGAUUUAAAAAAAGGGAAAAUGGUUCAUGGAUGAUAGGAUCAAGCGUAGAUGAUAUGCGUUGAUUUCCUAGUGGGAACAACAAGGUUAUGACAAUGAAAUGGAAAUUGUACAGAUGUCUGCUAGAGUCUAAGUGUACAUGUGAUGCAUUGGAAGUCUAUUCUUUAAUUUAUGUUCAACAUCUCUCCAUGUAGAUGCCACACUUAUCAUAUCUCUAGUUUGCAUGCGUUAGUUAAAAUGAAUAGGCAAAUGCCAUGAAUAAUUUUAUCUCUAGAAUUACUCACGCCCUAGCUUGAUGCGUUCAACAAGUAACUACUCUCUUGAGAAACUAAUUGUUUUUUCACUUCAAUCAACCGAUCAGGUGGAUUCAAGCAACAAAUUUUAUGCAUUUAUCAAGCCAGAGGAUUCACAUACACAAACGACUUAGAAAUUUAACAGAUGGAAAUGUGAAGCAUGGUUGAGAUUGAGAUUGAAUUAAAGAAAUACGUCUUGAUACAUACAACCUUAGUUCAAUGAAGUGGAAUAGUGAAUGAGAAUGCAAAAUAAAAGAAAGAAGUCAAACUGUUGGAUUCAAUCUCUUGUCCCCUUUGGCUUGUUUUUAUGCUUGUUGUUGCCAACUAAGUGGAGGUUGAAGAAGAUGUCUCUCUCGAGAUUUUCUCCAGCAACACCUCGUUGCCAACGAUGGAGAAUGGCUAUCAUCCCUCCUAUUUCUUGCUUGUAGUCAGAAAAUGUGAAAAACUAGAAAAUGGCUGACUCUCUAACUAACUCCUCAUUGUAGGCAACAUCUCUUUAUAUAGGCAAUCAGAACAACCACUUGGUGAUGUGAUUGCAUUAAAUUCCACACUCUAAGACAGUUGCCUACUAUUUUGCCUUGAUUAGAUAUAGCUAGUCAGAUGCCCAUGCAUGCAAGUUGGAUUUGAUGUGGAUUGCACAAGCCAAAUGAAUCUUUCGUGCGCCGGGUAAGCUAGACGCAUUCUCUUGUGUUAGGCUUGUCUACAACACUUAGUAAAUUUUUCUGAUUCCUUCAUUAAAGUGCGUUAGUGAUGCAAUGUUUCACUUAAAAAGAUACUUUUGCAUGAGUUUAUCACAUAUAUACAAUUUCAUGCACUUUUCUUUAUUAUGAGUACGUUUACAUAACUCAUAAUCCUAAUUAUUCAAUGAGAGGAAAAUAACUUGUAUUUAUACAUGUUACCAAGAACAAUAUGUUGUCGUUUCUUCGUCUUUCUCCCUUCUUCUCUUCUUCAAAAUCGCCUCAUUCAUUAUUUGAAUAAAUUUCUCUUCAUUUUUUUUUGCUUUUCUUAAUCAGAACUGAUGGUCGAGAGUCAUCAUUGUUCUUGACGAACUUUAUUGGAAACUUUUGCAAAAACAAAAAAGGUUAAUUAAAUAAAGAAAUAAAGAAAUUAGAGAAAAGGAGCUUCCAAUCAAGUUUGUAAAGAAGAACGACGAUUCUUUGUUAUACAACAUGGCAAUUCUUGGCGUUACCCACGAUGCAAAAUGGAAGGUCUAACUCAAAAAAUUGGAUGUAAACUUCUAUUUUCUGAGAGGCUAGCUGGAAUUCGUCCAAUUUUAUUCUAUUCAACAUGGUUAUUUCUUUGUGUUCCAAUUGAAAGCAAUUUGCUGAUUCAAUGUCCACAUUUUCGAUACCACCCCUACCCAAAUCAAUUAUCCAACUUGUCGGCCACCGAUUCUAAUUAUGAAAAGCAAAAACAAAGAUGAAGAGAAGUCUGUUCAAAUAGUGAAUGAGGCAAUUUUGAAGAAGAGAAGAAAAGAAAAAGACGAAGAAAUUGCAGCGUAUUAUUCCUUAUUGAGAGUUGAAGAAGAUGAUGAGAAAAAAUAUCUUGAAGAAAAGCACAUCAACAUCGUUUUUUCCGAGCAAUCUGAGGUUUUCCUCGCCAAAACUCACAUGUCUGGUACUUUUAAAGCUCUCUUCUACAAAAGUUGUAAGCUCACUUGUCACAUAUUUCCUGACUACCCAACUGUUGAGUGCAAAUACUGUCACAAGCGUGGUCAUAUCCUUGAAAAUUGUCCCAUCCGACCACCCCGACCUCCGGGAAAUUUUUCAAAGUAAAGACACGUUAAAUCUGGCUCUGCCUCUACUGAGCCUAAAUCUUCUCCGUCUACCUUUCAAAUGAGUGAUUUACAAGAUUUGCUUAAAUAGGUGAUUUCAUCCAAUUCCUCCGCUCUUACGGUUUCCUCGGGUAAUCGGUGGCUCCUUGAUUCCACUUGUUGUAACCAUAUGACUUAUGAUUGUUCUCUUGUGACUACACCCACUCCCGCCAAAUCUCUUCCUCUUAUUUAUGUUGCUGACAGUAAUUGUAUGACCAUAUUCCAUGUUGGCUCUAUUGACACUCCCACACUACAACUUUUUAAUACGUAUUGUGUUCCAAACUUGACCUUUAAUCUUACCUCCGUCGGACAGAUAUUGGCUUAACUAUUUCUUUUUCUUCUACUGUGUGUUAAGUUUAGGAUCUACAGGCAGGACAGACAGUUAGUGCGGGUUGCAAAGUGGGAAGAUUCUUUGAGCUCACAUCAUUCCAGCUACCUUCUUGUUCUCUUUUUGUCCUGUCACUAACUCUAUUAUAUAUCAAUGGUAUCUUCAUCUUGGUCAUGCUUCUUCCGAUAAACUCCGUCAUUUGAUUUCUAUUAAAAAAUUGCAUAAUGUUUCCAAGUUUAUUCAUUUUGAUUGUGUGAAUUGCAAACUUGCUAAAUAGCAUGCAUUAUUCUUUUCCUAGUCCAGUUUUAUAUGUGGUCAGCCUUUUGACUUAAUUCACUCUGA
Non-coding RNA from Benincasa hispida (wax gourd), 3300 nucleotides. The record is from RefSeq and is a predicted model, not a curated record. NCBI's taxonomy places the organism in Eukaryota, Viridiplantae, Streptophyta, Magnoliopsida, Cucurbitales, Cucurbitaceae.